GCUAUCCUAGUGCACGACCUAGCUACCUUAUCUACAAUAAAUAAAUAAUAAAAUUAAAUUAAUUAAAACAUACAUAUGAUUAAUUCAAUAUGAAAUUAAUUUAAGUAUAGAAUUUUUACCAAUCUAUCGAUCACAAUAUGUAUACCAACAGAGCUGUAGUGUGCUUAAUCGGAUGCUACUAGAUAGACCGAUUCUGUCAUGCCCUU
RNAcentral lists this long non-coding RNA (206 nucleotides) under Elaeis guineensis (African oil palm). RNAcentral describes it as "long non-coding RNA (EGUI_LNC004340)". The record is from RNAcentral. Lineage: Eukaryota; Viridiplantae; Streptophyta; Magnoliopsida; Arecales; Arecaceae.